This is a non-coding RNA of Ricinus communis (castor bean), 87 nucleotides long. NCBI's taxonomy places the organism in Eukaryota, Viridiplantae, Streptophyta, Magnoliopsida, Malpighiales, Euphorbiaceae. The record is from Rfam.
UGCAAUCUAUGAUGCAAUCCUCACUCAGUUGCUGAUAUUGAUGUGAUUAAUUUGUUAUAUAUUCACCAUCUUUCGACUGAGAUUGCG